Molecule: ribosomal RNA, 253 nt
Filed under: uncultured bacterium
Lineage: Bacteria
Description: partial 16S ribosomal RNA
Rfam family: Bacterial small subunit ribosomal RNA
Source: RNAcentral
UACGUAGAGUGCAGGCGUUAAUCGGAAUUAUUGGGCGUAAAGAGCUCGUAGGCGGUUUGUCGCGUCUGCUGUGAAAACCGGAGGCUCAACCUCCGGCCUGCAGUGGGUACGGGCAAACUAGAGUGCGGUAGGGGAGAUUGGAAUUCCUGGUGUAGCGGUGGAAUGCGCAGAUAUCAGGAGGAACACCGAUGGCGAAGGCAGAUCUCUGGGCCGUAACUGACGCUGAGGAGCGAAAGCGUGGGGAGCGAACAGG